This 509-nucleotide ribosomal RNA is filed under the name uncultured bacterium. RNAcentral describes it as "partial 16S ribosomal RNA". It matches the Rfam family "Bacterial small subunit ribosomal RNA", at positions 28 to 523 of the family's 1533-position model. The record is from RNAcentral.
GACGAACGCUGGCGGCGCGCUUAACACAUGCAAGUCGAGCGAGAACCAGCCCUUCGGGGCUGGGGAGAGCGGCGAACGGGUGAGUAACACGUGGGUAAUCAACCCUCGGUACUGGGAUAGCCCGGGGAAACCCGGAUUAAUACCGGAUGGCCCUUCGAAUCCUCGGAUUUGAAGGAAAAGGUAGCUUCGGCCUCCGACCGAGGACGAGCCCGCGGCGGAUUAGCUUGUUGGUGGGGUAACGGCCUACCAAGGCGACGAUCCGUAGCUGGUCUGAGAGGAGGAUCAGCCACACUGGGACUGAGACGCGGCCCAGACUGGUACGGAAGGGAGCAGUGGGGAAUCUUGCGGUAAUGCGGGAAACCGUGACGCAGCGACGCCGGGUGGGGGAAGAAGGCCUUCGGGUUGUAAACCUCUUUCAGGAGGGACGAAGCUACUCGGGUUAAUAGCCCAGAGGGUGACGGUACCUCCAGAAGAAGCCCCGGCUAACUACGUGCCAGCAGCCGCAGUAA